RNAcentral lists this ribosomal RNA (361 nucleotides) under Pantoea sp. EKM101V. RNAcentral describes it as "partial 23S ribosomal RNA". It matches the Rfam family "Bacterial large subunit ribosomal RNA", at positions 1 to 390 of the family's 2925-position model. The record is from RNAcentral. RNAcentral also lists the same sequence under 2 other names. Lineage: Bacteria; Pseudomonadati; Pseudomonadota; Gammaproteobacteria; Enterobacterales; Erwiniaceae.
GGGUUGUGAGGUUAAGCGACUAAGCGUACACGGUGGAUGCCCUGGCAGUCAGAGGCGAUGAAGGACGUGCUAAUCUGCGUAAAGCGACGGUAAGGUGAUAUGAACCGCUACAGCCGUCGAUGUCCGAAUGGGGAAACCCGGUGCACUCAGUGCAUCAUUGCAGCAUGAAUACAUAGUGCUGCAAGGCGAACCGGGGGAACUGAAACAUCUAAGUACCCCGAGGAAAAGAAAUCAACCGAGAUUCCCCCAGUAGCGGCGAGCGAACGGGGAGCAGCCCAGAGCCUGAAUCAGCAUGUGUGUUAGUGGAAGCGUCUGGAAAGUCGCAGGGUACAGGGUGAUACUCCCGUACACAAAAGCACAC